Molecule: ribosomal RNA, 253 nt
Filed under: uncultured bacterium
Lineage: Bacteria
Description: partial 16S ribosomal RNA
Rfam family: Bacterial small subunit ribosomal RNA
Source: RNAcentral
UACGAAGGGGGCUAGCGUUGCUCGGAAUCCCUGGGCGUAAAGGGUGCGUAGGCGGGUCUUUAAGUCAGGGGUGAAAUCCUGGAGCUCAACUCCAGAACUGCCUUUGAUACUGAGGAUCUUGAGUUCGGGAGAGGUGAGUGGAACUGCGAGUGUAGAGGUGAAAUUCGUAGAUAUUAGGAAGAACACCAGUGGCGAAGGCGGCUCACUGGUCCGGUACUGACGCUGAGGUGCGAAAGCGUGGGGAGCAAACAGG